RNAcentral lists this ribosomal RNA (253 nucleotides) under uncultured Bacteroidales bacterium. RNAcentral's name for it is "partial 16S ribosomal RNA". It matches the Rfam family "Bacterial small subunit ribosomal RNA", at positions 524 to 776 of the family's 1533-position model. The record is from RNAcentral. Lineage: Bacteria; Pseudomonadati; Bacteroidota; Bacteroidia; Bacteroidales.
UACGGAGGAUCCGAGCGUUAUCCGGAUUUAUUGGGUUUAAAGGGAGCGUAGGUGGAUUGUUAAGUCAGUUGUGAAAGUUUGCGGCUCAACCGUAAAAUUGCAGUUGAAACUGGGGAUCUAGAGUGUGCGAGAGGUAUGCGGAAUGCGUGGUGUAGCGGUGAAAUGCAUAGAUAUCACGCAGAACCCCGAUUGCGAAGGCAGCAUACCGGUGCACAACUGACGCUCAGGCACGAAAGCGUGGGUAUCGAACAGG